Molecule: ribosomal RNA, 382 nt
Filed under: uncultured eukaryote
Lineage: Eukaryota
Description: partial 18S ribosomal RNA
Rfam family: Eukaryotic small subunit ribosomal RNA
Source: RNAcentral
UGUAAGCGUAUACCAAAGUUGUUGCAGUUAAAACGCUCGUAGUCGGAAUUUGGCAGUUCCGGAUGUGUGCACGUCGUGUGCGCACUUCGCGGGGAUUGCUUUUGUGGUCUUGCGUAGGAUGAGGCACUUUUAUUAGUGAACGUCCUCACGCAACCACUUUUUACUGUGAGAAAAUCAGAGUGCUCAAAGCAGGCAUUUGCCGUGAAUGUAUUAGCAUGGAAUAAUAGAAUAGGACUUGGUUCUAUUUUGUUGGUUUGUUGGGACUGAGUAAUGAUUAAGAGGGACAGUUGGGGGCAUUUGUAUUUCGGUGCUAGAGGUGAAAUUUUUAGAUUACCGAAAGACAAACUGCUGCGAAAGCGUCUGCCAAGGAUGUUUUCAUUGA